GACGGAGGGGGCUAGCGUUGUUCGGAAUUACUGGGCGUAAAGGGCGCGCAGGCGGUCGCUCAAGUCAGGCGUGAAAGCCCCGGGCUCAACCUGGGAAUAGCGCUUGAGACUGAGCGACUUGAGUUCGGGAGAGGAGAGCGGAAUUCCCAGUGUAGAGGUGAAAUUCGUAGAUAUCUUGAGGAACACCGGUGGCGAAGGCGGCAUCCUGGACCAACACUGACGCUGAGGAGCGAAAGCCAGGGGAGCAAACGGG
This 253-nucleotide ribosomal RNA is filed under the name uncultured bacterium. RNAcentral describes it as "partial 16S ribosomal RNA". It matches the Rfam family "Bacterial small subunit ribosomal RNA", at positions 524 to 776 of the family's 1533-position model. The record is from RNAcentral.